This is a long non-coding RNA of Oreochromis aureus, 213 nucleotides long. RefSeq lists it as uncharacterized. The transcript has 3 exons. NCBI's taxonomy places the organism in Eukaryota, Metazoa, Chordata, Actinopteri, Cichliformes, Cichlidae. The record is from RefSeq and is a predicted model, not a curated record.
GCUGUGAAUGUGACUGUGUCUGCUGAGGCGGUAGCGUCCCAUGUGUCAUCGACGUUGUCACCAAAUCUCUCAUAGUGAAGGCUGAGGGAACUGAGAUGACAAAGACGUACAACUGUCUUCUUUGUCCAAAAGGAAACACACCGACAGAGGAAGCAGAGAUACAUCUGCCUGAGAAUGUGAUUGAAGGAUCUGCCCGCACUUCUGUAUCAGUCC